GUGUCAGCAGCCGCGGUAAGACGUAGGAGGCGAGCGUUAUCCGGAUUCACUGGGCGUAAAGCGCAUGUAGGCGGUUUGAUAAGUCCGGUGUUAAAGCCCCUGGCUCAACUGGGGGAGGUCAUUGGAGACUAUUAGACUUGAGGGCAACAGAGGCACGUGGAACUCCCGGUGUAGCGGUGGAAUGCGUAGAGAUCGGGAAGAACACCAGUGGCGAAGGCGACGUGCUGGGUUGCAACUGACGCUGAGAUGCGAAAGUGUGGGGAGCAAACGGGAUUAGAUACCCCGGUAGUCCACACUGUAAACGAUGAACCCUAGGUGUGGGGCGGUAAAACGCUCCGUGCCGAAGCCAACGCGUUAAGGGUUCCGCCUGGGGACUAUGAGCGCAAGCUUAAA
RNAcentral lists this ribosomal RNA (393 nucleotides) under uncultured bacterium. RNAcentral describes it as "bacterial SSU rRNA". It matches the Rfam family "Bacterial small subunit ribosomal RNA", at positions 505 to 898 of the family's 1533-position model. The record is from RNAcentral.